Molecule: non-coding RNA, 1855 nt
Organism: Pantherophis guttatus
Lineage: Eukaryota; Metazoa; Chordata; Lepidosauria; Squamata; Colubridae
Source: RefSeq, a predicted model, not a curated record
UUUUCUGAGCCAGAUGCCAGUCACCGAGGUGCUUCAUGACAAGGGUCCCUGUGAAGACCUUGACAAGGUCUUGACUGCACAAUUCCCAGCCCUGAAUUUUCUCCUUCAGAGCUGCUGGGAACCGACCCUCAAAAGAGGAAAUUGAAAAAUCUGCAUACAGUUUAGGGUAAAGCAAUAACAGAAAAAAAAUUGUAGUAAGGAAGGUGAAAUAAGGUGAAAGAGAUGUAUCUCCAACUUGGCUUCUUCAUCCCACCUUCCCUGCAUUUAUGGGGAACGUAAGAGAUAGUUGGGUGCAAAGGGAACAAAGUACAGAGACUAAUAGCCUUCCUCCAAGACUCUACUCUAAUGAGACAUCAAGGCAACAAUCCUGCAAGGUUGACUAGCAUUACUUGGAGAAAAAUAAAGAGAAGUCUGGAAGAAGGAAGAUCCAUUCUCCAAGACCCAACAAAGUAAUAACAGCGAAACAACAAAACCUCAUUUUAACAUAUGCUGAUUAGUGUACAUUUAAAGUGACAAUAAAAUAAUUAUUCUAUCAGAGAUUAUUCAAGUAAUUUCAGAGGAAUCUUGGAAUGUUCUGUUACUCAUUUGCUCAGUAUCAUGGAUGCUUUUAGUCAGUGUUUUUGAACCAUGAUAACUUUAAGAUGUGUGGACUGCCAGCAUGGUGGCUUGGGAAUUCUGGGAAUUAAAGUCCACACUUCUUAAAGAUGCCAAGUUUUUUAAAAUUGCUUUAGAUGGACUAAUGCCAAACUCAAUCUCAUUCCCUCUCCAAGAGAGCAACAAAAAAGGAGUAAAAUCAACCCCCCCAAACAAAAUUGAGAAAUAUACCAGAGGUCCUAAUAGACAGGUGAUACAUUUGUAUGCUAAUCGUCAGCCAUAAUGAUUCUUUAAGCAGCUUAAUAUCAGCUUUAGAGGAAGUUGAUACUUUCCUCCAAAGAGUGGACCUAAAUACCAGGUGCCGUUAGUGGAAUCAAGCAAUAUUCUCAUAUUCAGAGUCCCUUCUCCAGCCAGGAGUCCUGAAAAAUGAAAAGCAUUUAAAUGGAAGCAAUUAUAAUGAUUGUAGCAGGGGCAAUUCAUUUCAGAUCCCACAUAAGAAAAAAAUUUCUCCUGUGUUAAAACAUGAUAAAUGCAUAUCAAGGCAUUUAGCUCUGGUGCCUACAUUCAUAGGUGAUGAGAAGAUUUAUUUCCUGCAUCAUCUCCGGAGUAGUCAGUUAACACUUAUUGCAAGCUGGUGCGAAAGACUUGUGGUGCACGGUUUUAACAGAUCUGCAGGAACGAGAGUAUUGCAAAGUGCAUCCAAGGGCAGUUUUAAGAUCCUUGAGUGAGGAAAUUAAAACGAAUCUUUGUGAUUUACCUAGCAAAGCCUAUUUUGACUUCUUGCAGACUCUCAUUAGAGUGUGUUUCGUUUGGUUAAUGCUAGCAAUUUCUUUGGGCUGUUAGGUAUGUCGAGCCAAUGCCCACUACAGUUUCUAUUUUGUUUUCUCUUCUUUGCGUUAAUUGACAGAUAACAUUUUGACUUAAGAGCGCCAGGGACAGUUUAUUGUGUCACAUAAAGUGUGACAAUAAGAUACAUAUCUGCACAUCUUGACAUUCCAUCUACUCGAUAGGAGUGCCAAUUGAAAAACUAGAGUACAAGCCAAGGAUGAAUCUGAGUGGUGAAUCAACAGAGAAAUGAGACCAGCAGCUUUUGAUAGUCUAUGUGCCAUAGUCCAUAGUUAAAUUUUCUGUGAUGUCAAAUAUGAUUUGUAUAAUAUAUGUACUCUAUGUAUCUGAUCUGCCUUUUUUCUAUUCUCUCUGUUUGACUGAACCUUUUUUUUAAAACUUCUGAGCCAAAUAAAGUUUGUAAAGUGGAAUUUAA